This 253-nucleotide ribosomal RNA is filed under the name uncultured bacterium. RNAcentral describes it as "partial 16S ribosomal RNA". It matches the Rfam family "Bacterial small subunit ribosomal RNA", at positions 524 to 776 of the family's 1533-position model. The record is from RNAcentral.
UACAGAGGGGGCAAGCGUUGUUCGGAAUUACUGGGCGUAAAGGGCGCGUAGGCGGCCUGUUAAGUCGAACGUGAAAUCCCUGGGCUCAACCCAGGAACUGCGUCCGAUACUGGCAGGCUUGAAUUCGGGAGAGGGAUGCGGAAUUCCAGGUGUAGAGGUGAAAUUCGUAGAUAUUCGCAAGAACACCAGUGGCGAAGGCGGCUCACUGGCCCGGUACUGACGCUGAGGUGCGAAAGCGUGGGGAGCAAACAGG